UGAAGAGUGGCUCGUACACAAGUCAUGGAGAGGAUGGUAACAGAUAGGUUAAGUUACCAUAUGGAAAACAAGGGUCUCUUUUCAGCGUAUCAGUCUGGAUUUCGUAAGGGAAGGGGGACAAUGGACUCUGUUUUGUGCUUAUAAGCAGAAGUUAGGAAAGCACAAACUAAUAAGGAAAGUGUAAUUACUGUGUUCUUUGACGUCGAAAAAGCAUAUAUGCUGUGGAAGGAUGGACUACUUAUCAAACUUAACAAAUUAGGAAUAAAAGGUAAAUUAUUCAGUUGGAUACUAGACUUCCUGGACAGAAGAACAAUAGAGGUUAAGGUUGGUACAGAGUAUUCAUGUAGGCAUAUUGUGGAAAAUGGUACCCCACAAGGUAGUGUCUGCAGCCCCAUACUAUUCAAUAUCAUGAUAAAUGAUUUUUUGAUCAGGUAAGCGGAAAUGUAGGUAAGUCACUUUAUGCAGACGAUGGAGCACUCUGGGUUAGGGGACGAAAUGUAGAAUACUUAAGAAAGAAAAUGCAAAAUGCAAUAGAGAAAGUUGAACAAUGGACUUAUAAAUGGGGAUUUAAGCUAUCAAUUCAAAAAACUCAAGUUAUAUGUUUCUCUAAGCGCCAUAAGGUAGUGCCAUAUGGUAGUGGCAUGAAAUUGUAUGGACAAGAUUUGGAACAAAUUAAAAUGGUGAGAUUUCUAGUUGUCGUCUUUGAUGAGAGGCUGACUUGGUGUCAACAUAUUGAUAAGGUCAGAAAUAAAUGCAAAAAGAUUAACAACUUGUUGAGAUGUCUAUCAGGGCGAGACUGGGGAGCGAGUAGAGCAUUGCUAAUAAGCAUUUAUCAGGCUCUCAUGAAAACUGCCUCAGACUAUGGUUGUUUAGCAUAUAUGCCAGCAUCAGAAUCCAACCGUAGAAAGCUUGAUGUGGAGCAGGCACAGGCGCUCCGGAUUUGUACUAGGGCAUUUAAAACGUCACCAGUAACUGCAUUACAGGUGGAGGCAGGAGAGAUACCGCUACGUAUUAGGAGGGUCAAGAUUAUGUUGGCAUAUUGGACUAAUCUGCAAGGACAUAAUAUGAUGCACCCAACAAAAACUGCGCAGAGCAUAGCAAAAUAAAUUUUUAGUUUUGGGUGGGUGGGGAAUGCUAAGGCUCAAAAUGCAGGUCUCAUCCAUCCAUCUUCUACCGCUUAUCCGGGGCCGGGUCGCGGGGGCAGGUCUCAAAAUGCAGGUCUCAGUCAGCUGCAAAUUGGACCCACUGUGGCAAUAUCAGUGAUACCACCCUGGAAAUUUAUACAACCAGCUGUAAAUAUAAACCUACAACAAAUAAUAAAAGAAAACACAAAAAGAAUGCCAGGGUGGAUAAUAGUUCAAAACUAUGUAAAGAAGUAUCAAGAGGAACUAUUCAUAUUUACAGAUGGAUCAAAACAGCCAGAAACAGGCCGAACUGGUGCAGCAUUUUUUAUUCCCAGGUAUGAAGUAGCAGUCAAAAAGAGGACAACAGAUUACCUGUCGGUCUACACUGUGGAGUUAGUAGCAAUUUUACUGGCAUUAGGGUGGGUGGAGGAAAAUAAUCCGAACACAGAUGUCAUGAUAGCCUCAGACAGUCUAUCAGCAUUAUUAAGCAUUCAGUCAGGGAGAGCGUCAUGUAGACAAGACCUCAUCCAUCAAAUACUCCACUUGCGUCUCACACUUCACAAUAAAAGAAUAGAUGUCAUCUUCCUUUGGGUUCCUGCCCAUGUAGGGGUGGAAGGAAAUGAUAUUGUAGAUAUACUAGCAAAAACCUCUACAAAACAUGAAACAGUUGAUGUGCACGUACCAAUAAGUAGAACAGAGGUCAAAACUAUCAUAAAGCAACACUCACUUAAAAUAUGGCAGGAAUAUUGGAACACAGCGGAUACAGGACGUCACUUAUACAGUAUACAAAACCAGGUAGCCACAAGCAUGAGGAAGGGCAGAAGCCCAAGGGAAGAGAUGCUAAUCUCACAGCUUAGAAUGUGUCACACUGGUUUAAAUAUAACAUUGUACAGAAUAUCAAAAACAUCCCACUGGAUUAUGCACUGAUUGUAAAGUACAAGAGACAGUAAAGCAUAUACUGUUAGACUGUAAAAAAUAUGAAGAAGAAGAUAGGGCAGAAUUAAAGGCACACAUGGAUGAACAAAGCAUGACACUUGAACAUUUAUUAGGUAAAACGUCUUUGAGAAUACACAAAUAAGUAAUUUUGUUUUUGAAAAAUACUGGGUUAAGUGAAAGAAUAAGUUUUUUUUCUUCUUCUUCUUCUUCUUUUCCCCCCUCUAUCCUUUGAUGUCAUUCUAAUGCCCACACUCCAGUCUAGUAGGUGGCGGUAAUGCACCUUUAAGCUGAGUUGCCAACCGCCAUUAAACUCGAAAGAAGAAGAAGAAGAAGAAGAAGAAGAAGAAGAAGCGGCUCGUACAUUGAAGUUGUGCAUUGACCGCAUAAGGCUAUUUAUUCCUUCUUCACAGUUAUAUGAAGCUCCACUCUUUUCUUCUGGGAAGCUUUCCACUAGAUUUUGGAGUGUGGCUACAAGAGCAGUCAAGUACAAGUUCCAGUUCAUCCCAAAGGUGUUCAGUGGGGUUGAGUCAGAAUCAGUGCUCUGUACAGGACUCUCUAGUUCUUCUAACCUUAACCUACACACCGUUUCUUCAUGGAGCUCAGGGGCUUUGUGCACAGGGACAUCGUCGUGCUGGAACAGUGUUUGGGUCUUAGUUCCAGCUAAGAUAAAUAUGAGCAGAGACAUUUUGAGAUAUAUUCGUCUGUAUACUUCUGCCAAUAAUGUGUAUAAUUAAGUAUGACUAACAGUAAUAAAUUUGUUGU
Molecule: long non-coding RNA, 2822 nt
Organism: Tachysurus vachellii
Lineage: Eukaryota; Metazoa; Chordata; Actinopteri; Siluriformes; Bagridae
Exons: 2
Source: RefSeq, a predicted model, not a curated record